CCUACGGGUGGCAGCAGUAGGGAAUUUUGCGCAUUGGGCGAAAGCCUGACGCAGCAACGCCGCGUGAUCGAGACGCCCUUCGGGGUGUAAAGAUCUGUCAGUGGGGGCGAAACUUGACGGUACCCACAUAGGAAGCACCGGCUAACUCCGUGCCAGCAGCCGCGGUAAUACGGCGGGUGCAAGCGUUGUCCGGAAUCAUUGGGCGUAAGGGGUUCGUAGGCGGUACGUAAAGUCUGGUGUUAAAGGUCGAGGCUCAACUUCUGUACGGCACUGGAUACUUGCGAGCUAGAGUGCGGUAGAGGUAAAGGGAAUUCCUGGUGUAGCGGUGAAAUGCUUAGAUAUCAGGAGGAACACCGGUGGCGUAAGCGCCUUACUGGGCCGUAAUUGACGCUGAGGAACGAAAGCCAGGGGAGCAAAUGGGAUUAGAUACCCCGGUAGUC
RNAcentral lists this ribosomal RNA (440 nucleotides) under uncultured bacterium. RNAcentral describes it as "partial 16S ribosomal RNA". It matches the Rfam family "Bacterial small subunit ribosomal RNA", at positions 338 to 795 of the family's 1533-position model. The record is from RNAcentral.